AGUAAGCUAGGUGAUCGCGGAUACCGAAAGGUAUCCGAGGAAAGUCCGAGCUCCACAGGGCAGGGUGCUGGGUAACACCCAGUGGGGGCGACCCCAAGGAAAGUGCCACAGAAAUGCAGACCGCCCAAUACUCAGGCCAGCAGUAUGAGGUUUCCCCAUAUGGAAGCAAUUACUUAUAAUAUAAGGGAAAAUCUUAUUCUGCUGGGUUGAGUACUGGGUAAGGGUGGAACGGUGCGGUAAGAGCGCACCAGCGGUCAGGCGACUGGCCGGCUAGGUAAACCCCACCCGGAGCAAGACCGAAUAGGGGGACAAUGGAGUGGCCCGCUCCGUCCCCGGGUAUGGUCGCUUGAGGCGCCGGGCAACCGGCGUCCCAGAUAGAUGAUCACCCACGACAGAACUCGGCUUACAGGCUUACUCA
This 418-nucleotide RNase P RNA is filed under the name marine eukaryotic metagenome. Its description in RNAcentral is "Bacterial RNase P class A". It matches the Rfam family "Bacterial RNase P class A". Rfam says of the family: Ribonuclease P (RNase P) is a ubiquitous endoribonuclease, found in archaea, bacteria and eukarya as well as chloroplasts and mitochondria. The record is from RNAcentral.